This 479-nucleotide ribosomal RNA is filed under the name uncultured bacterium. RNAcentral describes it as "bacterial SSU rRNA". It matches the Rfam family "Bacterial small subunit ribosomal RNA", at positions 28 to 524 of the family's 1533-position model. The record is from RNAcentral.
GACGAACGCUGGCGGCGCGCUUAAUACAUGCAAGUCGAACGAGAAGCCAGAGCUUGCUCUGGUGGAAAGUGGCGAACGGGUGAGUAACACGUGAGAAACCUGCCCAAAGAUUGGGAUAAGCCUUGGAAACGAGGUCUAAUACCAAAUACCUUCUUUUUAACACAUGUUAAAAAGAAGAAAUGCUCCGGCGCUUUGGGAUGGUCUCGCGAUCUAUCAGCUUGUUGGUGAGGUAACGGCUCACCAAGGCAUCGACGGAUAGCUGGUCUGAGAGGAUGUCCAGCCACAUUGGAACUGAGACACGGUCCAAACUCCUACGGGAGGCAGCAGUAGGGAAUCUUGCACAAUGAGGGAAACCUUGAUGCAGCGACGCCGCGUGCGGGACGAAGGCCCUAGGGUUGUAAACCGCUUUCAGUAGGGACGAAAGUGACGGUACCUACAGAAGAAGCCCCGGCCAACUAUGUGCCAGCAGCCGCGGUAAU